GGACGAACGCUGSCGGCGUGCUUAACACAUGCAAGUCGAACGCUGAAGCUCCCAGCUUGCUGGGGGUGGAUGAGUGGCGAACGGGUGAGUAACACGUGAGUAACCUGCCCCGAACUCUGGGAUAAGCGCUGGAAACGGCGUCUAAUACUGGAUAUGUCCUAUCACCGCAUGGUGUGUAGGUGGAAAGAAUUUUGGUUCGGGAUGGACUCGCGGCCUAUCAGCUAGAUGGUGAGGUAAUGGCUCACCAUGGCGACGACGGGUAGCCGGCCUGAGAGGGUGACCGGCCACACUGGGACUGAGACACGGCCCAGACUCCUACGGGAGGCAGCAGUGGGGAAUAUUGCACAAUGGGCGCAAGCCUGAUGCAGCAACGCCGCGUGAGGGAUGACGGCCUUCGGGUUGUAAACCUCUUUUAGUAGGGAAGAAGCGAAAGUGACGGUACCUGCAGAAWAAGCACCGGCUAACUACGU
This 470-nucleotide ribosomal RNA is filed under the name Leucobacter sp. SC28. RNAcentral's name for it is "bacterial SSU rRNA". It matches the Rfam family "Bacterial small subunit ribosomal RNA", at positions 27 to 506 of the family's 1533-position model. The record is from RNAcentral. Lineage: Bacteria; Bacillati; Actinomycetota; Actinomycetes; Micrococcales; Microbacteriaceae.